UAAGGAUUAUGCUGCAGCAAGAACAAGAGCGAGACCAGUGUCAGCAGGGAUCUGCGUUUCCCAGAAGAAGCUUCGACAGAUUGUGGAUCCCAGCCAGAGGCUCCUCGGGCAGCUGCACAAAAUUGUCUACAUCUCUCAACUUCCACCAGCUCCGCACCACAACAUCAGACGUCGAGUCAUCGAAAGAUUUAAAAAGUCUCUGUUCCACUAUGGAAGCGAUCC
Molecule: long non-coding RNA, 222 nt
Organism: Pleuronectes platessa (European plaice)
Lineage: Eukaryota; Metazoa; Chordata; Actinopteri; Pleuronectiformes; Pleuronectidae
Exons: 3
Source: RefSeq, a predicted model, not a curated record